UACAUGAGGAAUUAUUCCACCUGCUUUGAGGUGGACCUCCUUUUGGCUCUGCAGCGCUUCUCCCAGCACCGUGCCCGCCUCGUCCAGCACCGCCGCGCCCGUGUCGUCACAGCUGGUUUCGAUGCCCAGCACAAGUCUCGGGGGCCUCACAUGGCGCGGGGGGCCGCUCAGCCCUGCGGCCAUGCUGUGCCUCACGGGCUGCAGGAAGCGCAGGGCCGUGCUGCCCAUGGGCAGCAGCUGGGCUCGUGGGGACGCCUGGAAAGGAGCUCCGCGUGUUCCUUGUGCCGUUCUGCUGCCCGAGACUUGAUGUGUAAAAGCCUGCAAAGGGGGCGCGGCGCAGUAACCGCCGGGGGCGGCUCGACC
This 363-nucleotide long non-coding RNA is filed under the name Gallus gallus (chicken). Lineage: Eukaryota; Metazoa; Chordata; Aves; Galliformes; Phasianidae. The record is from RNAcentral.